This is a long non-coding RNA of Aedes albopictus (Asian tiger mosquito), 3213 nucleotides long. RefSeq lists it as uncharacterized. Lineage: Eukaryota; Metazoa; Arthropoda; Insecta; Diptera; Culicidae. The transcript has 3 exons. The record is from RefSeq and is a predicted model, not a curated record.
ACUUGUACAGUAGACGUUCGCUCGGUGCAAACGGUUUAACUGCAAUGCUUUUUAACUGCAAGUCCGCUAAGUGCAACAAUUUUGCAGUUAUCGCACCGCUAUCUGUCAAAAACGAAACGUCAACAGAGUUGCGAUGUUUUUCAGAUGCACUACAGCUGCAUUGCGAUGUUUUUGAGUGCAUUCUGGCUGCGUCCAACAGCAAUUGACAACUGUUUGACGGCUGUCAGUCGUUGCAGUUAGCGAAUUUCAUUCGGUAACUGAAACGUAAACAUGUUGCACUUAUCGAACGUCUACUGUAGUUUGUUUAUGCAACAUACACUUGUAAAUUCUACUAAUAAUAUUAGUCCAACCGACUUGUAGUAUUGGACUUGUAACUUGUACUUGUAGUAUUUUUAUGCAACAGAAAAUUAUAAAUUACAAGCUACAAGACUAAUAUUAUUAGUAAAAUUUUCAUUAUGCUACAGGCCCCUGGCUGCGUCUAACAGCAAUGGAUUACCCGCUUCGGCGGAAAUUGCAACAGAUGGCGCUAGUGAGCAGGAGUUUUUCACUUUUCAAAUGCAUGGAGAAAUUAAUAAAAACUCGUUUCUUGACUUAUUAAACGUCUUAUCGGGAAAAAUAUUUGGUACAGGUAGUAGGCCAUUACGAUAGCAAUCUACGGUACCAAAUAUUUUUUAUCAAAAUUUCAAAAUAUUUGAAAUAUUGGGAAAAAUGUUCAAAUCCCCAUACAGUAGACGUUCGCUCGGUGCAAACGGUUUAACUGCAAUGCUUUUUAACUGCAAGUCCGCUAAGUGCAACAAUUUUGCAGUUAUCGCACCGCUAUCUGUCAAAAACGAAACGUCAAUAGAGUUGCGAUGUUUUUCAGAUGCACUAAAGCUGCAAUGCGAUGUUUUUGAGUGCAUUCUGGCUGCGUCCAACAGUAAAUGACAACUGUUUGACGGCUGUCAGUCGUUGCAGUUAGCGAAUAUCAUUCGGUAACUGAAACGUAAACAUGUUGCACUUAUCGAACGUCUACUGUACAGUAGACGUUCGCUCGGUGCAAACGGUUUAACUGCAAUGCUUUUUAACUGCAAGUCCGCUAAGUGCAACAAUUUUGCAGUUAUCGCACCGCUAUCCGUCAAAAUGAAAUGUCAUCAACGAUGCGAUGUUUUUUGCAUGCACUUUUGUUGCAAUGCGAUGUUUUUGAGUGCAUUCUGGCUGCGUCCAACAGCAAUUGACAACUGUUUGACGGCUGUCAGUCGUUGCAGUUAGCGAAUUUCAUUCGGUAACUGAAACGUAAACAUGUUGCACUUAUCGAACGUCUACUGUACAUUAUUUCGACCAAAUACUUCUGCCUCGAUUUUGCCUGAUCUUUGUUUGCCUAUACAUGGCACCACAAAUAUACAUGGAUUCAUGUUUACCAAUCUGUCAACGACACGUAAUCAAAAAAAUAAAAAAAAAGUUUGGAACGGCAACGUGGAAGCAAAACAUGAUACAAUAAAAGGAUAACGUUAUUUGCGAGCCGUUCCUGGAUACUAACGUCUUAACAGAGCAACGGAAUAUUCGUCUGUGGAAAGAAAAAAAAAACAUUGACUUUAUUGCGUCGCAGCACUUCCAAGAUGUUCAUUGCCGACUUAUGUACAAUUCAUCGAAACGGAUCGAACUUCCCUUGCUGUUGAGAGUUUCCCGGUGUUACGCACGUAUUAGUGGUCCGAUAAGGUGUCUGUUCAAGCAUCUGAUGCACAUCACGUAUGUCUUGAAGAAGAACGGACGUCAGGAGCAACGCCGAUAUCUGUAAUGCAGGUAAUGGUCUUGAUGUUGUUAUGUAACCUUCUCCAGAAACUGUAUAACCGAUUUCUUUCUUCAUUCAUCUAUAGAUAUGCAGAGCACCGACCUGAUGAUUCGGUCCUAACCGACACGUCACCAUCCAAACCGAUAGCACAGGAAAAUACGACUCCCUUCAUUGGAGAUUAUCUCCCUCCUAAUAACGGAAUGCAUUUCCAUCUUUGCUUCCUGCUAUUCGAGUCACAGCUCAACUUCCAAAUAGGAUUCAGAUGUCACCGUCAGUAAAAACUUCCGGAUUCUACUUGUCUUCGAGGACCACAUGAUACGUCCAAGGAUACUCUCCGCAACGUAUUCGAUCUACUGUGUGUACAUCCUGUCGAUGGAAGCGCUAUUCACUGUAAAUUGGUAAAUCGAAAGGAAUUGCAUUCAGGCCAAUAAUGUGAGCCCAAUUUUUAUGAGACUACGAAGAACAACAACGAUAGGAUUGUGGUGGAUGGACAGGUAGGUUUGUGGAGUCGGAUCGGAAUGGUGGUAAGGGAAUGUUCCCAAAUUACGUCGUACACUUGGGGGAGAACGACAGGCCUAGAAAAGUGUGACAAUACAUCUGCUUCUUCUUCUUCUUUAUGGCUCUACGUCCCCACUGGGACUUUGCCUGCCUCGCUUCAACUUAGUGUUCUUUGAGCACUUCCACAGUUAUUAAUUGAAGGGCUUUCUUUGCCCGCCAUUGCAUGAAUUUGGAUAUUGUGAGGCAAGUACAAUGAUACACUAUGUCCUGGAAGUCGAGAAAUUUUCCCGACCGGAACAGGAAUCGAACCCGCCGUCUCCGGAUUGGUGAUCCAUAGCCUUAACCACUAGGCUAAUUGGAGGCCCACAAUACUGGAGAUGUGACAAUACGUGCAAUAUAGCGUAACCGAGGGAGGAGGGAAAGUCUGGAAAUCCCGAAUAAAGAUGAACGUAAUAUAUGAAUCUUCACUAAUCAACUACAACAACAGUCAACAAAAUAUAGAUAAUUUUUUUUAUCGGUAUUAACGAGAUUUUUAACCCUAGGCUAGUUCAUCUCGGGACCCACGCUUUACUUCCCUUCCGAAGGAAGAACUCACAUUUUGCGAGUUUGUCGGGAGUGGGAUUCGAUCCCAGGUCCUCGGCGUGAUAGUCAAUAUAAAUGUCUUUCUUCAUAUUUUACAAACCAGAUUAACCCUCGCGUUGAUAUGUAGCAGAAUAGCAGAAUUUUACAAACCAGAUUAACCCUAUAUAAAGCAGUGGCAACUAGGUAUAUUGCCACCUACAUUUUUUUUCUGUUUGAUAACAACAUAUUAUUGUAAUUAUUUUUCGGUUCACUCAUACCUGGGAUUACUAACAACCACCAACGCUGGUGGCCUAAACGGCCAGUGGCAACGUAUUCUCGGCAGUUUUGUUCUCUUCGUCAUGGGAGGUUGAACCUAUUGAACUCCA